Molecule: ribosomal RNA, 878 nt
Filed under: uncultured bacterium
Lineage: Bacteria
Description: bacterial SSU rRNA
Rfam family: Bacterial small subunit ribosomal RNA
Source: RNAcentral
CAAGUCGAACGCGAAAGUUUCCUUCGGGAGGCGAGUAGAGUGGCGCACGGGUGAGUAACACGUAGGUAAUCUACCUUUGGAUGGGGAAUAACAACCGGAAACGGUUGCUAAUACCGCAUAAUGCAGCGGCACCUAAUGGUGACAGUUGUUAAAGCGGGGGAUCGAAAGACCUCGCGUCUGAAGAGGAGCCUGCGGCGGAUUAGCUAGUUGGUAAGGUAAUGGCUUACCAAGGCGAUGAUCCGUAACCGGCCUGAGAGGGCGGUCGGUCACACUGACACUGACAUACGGGUCAGACUCCUACGGGAGGCAGCAGUCGGGAAUUUUGGGCAAUGGGCGAAAGCCUGACCCAGCGACGCCGCGUGAAGGAUGAAAUCCCUCGGGAUGUAAACUUCGCAAGAACAGGAAGAAUAAGUAAGGGUUAAUAUCUCUUACGAUGACGGUACUGUUUGUAAGCUCCGGCUAACUCCGUGCCAGCAGCCGCGGUAAUACGGGGGGAGCAAGCGUUGUUCGGAUUUACUGGGCGUAAAGGGCGCGUAGGCGGCCACCGCAAGUCGGUUGUGAAAUCUCUGGGCUUAACCCAGAAAGGUCAACCGAUACUGCGGGGCUAGAGUGCAGAAGGGGCAACUGGAAUUCUCGGUGUAGCGGUGAAAUGCGUAGAUAUCGAGAGGAACACCUGCGGCGAAGGCGGGUUGCUGGGCUGACACUGACGCUGAAGCGCGAAAGCUAGGGGAGCGAACGGGAUUAGAUACCCCGGUAGUCCUAGCCUUAAACGAUGAAUGCUUGGUGUCUGGGGUUUUAUAGUCCCCGGGUGCCGUCGCUAACGCUUUAAGCAUUCCGCCUGGGGAGUACGGUCGCAAGACUGAAACUCAAAGGAAUUG